Molecule: ribosomal RNA, 1018 nt
Filed under: Bacillus licheniformis
Lineage: Bacteria; Bacillati; Bacillota; Bacilli; Caryophanales; Bacillaceae
Description: bacterial SSU rRNA
Rfam family: Bacterial small subunit ribosomal RNA
Source: RNAcentral
CUAUACAUGCAAGUCGAGCGGACAGAUGGGAGCUUGCUCCCUGAUGUUAGCGGCGGACGGGUGAGUAACACGUGGGUAACCUGCCUGUAAGACUGGGAUAACUCCGGGAAACCGGGGCUAAUACCGGAUGCUUGAUUGAACCGCAUGGUUCAAUUAUAAAAGGUGGCUUUUAGCUACCACUUACAGAUGGACCCGCGGCGCAUUAGCUAGUUGGUGAGGUAACGGCUCACCAAGGCAACGAUGCGUAGCCGACCUGAGAGGGUGAUCGGCCACACUGGGACUGAGACACGGCCCAAACUCCUACGGGAGGCAGCAGUAGGGAAUCUUCCGCAAUGGACGAAAGUCUGACGGAGCAACGCCGCGUGAGUGAUGAAGGUUUUCGGAUCGUAAAACUCUGUUGUUAGGGAAGAACAAGUACCGUUCGAAUAGGGCGGUACCUUGACGGUACCUAACCAGAAAGCCACGGCUAACUACGUGCCAGCAGCCGCGGUAAUACGUAGGUGGCAAGCGUUGUCCGGAAUUAUUGGGCGUAAAGCGCGCGCAGGCGGUUUCUUAAGUCUGAUGUGAAAGCCCCCGGCUCAACCGGGGAGGGUCAUUGGAAACUGGGGAACUUGAGUGCAGAAGAGGAGAGUGGAAUUCCACGUGUAGCGGUGAAAUGCGUAGAGAUGUGGAGGAACACCAGUGGCGAAGGCGACUCUCUGGUCUGUAACUGACGCUGAGGCGCGAAAGCGUGGGGAGCGAACAGGAUUAGAUACCCUGGUAGUCCACGCCGUAAACGAUGAGUGCUAAGUGUUAGAGGGUUUCCGCCCUUUAGUGCUGCAGCAAACGCAUUAAGCACUCCGCCUGGGGAGUACGGUCGCAAGACUGAAACUCAAAGGAAUUGACGGGGGCCCGCACAAGCGGUGGAGCAUGUGGUUUAAUUCGAAGCAACGCGAAGAACCUUACCAGGUCUUGACAUCCUCUGACAACCCUAGAGAUAGGGCUUCCCCUUUGGGGGCAGAGUGACAGGUGGUGCAUG